UGCAGUCUCCGAGUGAGCCUCUCCCCUCAUGACCUGUGCAGAUUAUGCCAUCAAUAGUGGGAGAGGGGAUGAGGACGAACAUUUGGAGCCCUCAGCACACAGCUGCAAGGGGCCUGGUGAAGCCUUGCAGCAAUGAGGGUGCGCUAGAAUAAAAGCGUCAAGACAAAGACCUGUGGCCUCGUCAAAGUUUGUUGAAGCAAAUGUUUCAGGUUGCCCCUCAAGUCCCAGGACGGGUAUCUUUUUAAGUAUCGACACCAAGAUUGGAGGCAGAAACAUGCGGGAAAAGCAUGGGAUUAAAAG
Molecule: long non-coding RNA, 300 nt
Organism: Leopardus geoffroyi (Geoffroy's cat)
Lineage: Eukaryota; Metazoa; Chordata; Mammalia; Carnivora; Felidae
Exons: 3
Source: RefSeq, a predicted model, not a curated record